This 4486-nucleotide small RNA is filed under the name Pan troglodytes (chimpanzee). RNAcentral describes it as "retained intron". The record is from RNAcentral. Lineage: Eukaryota; Metazoa; Chordata; Mammalia; Primates; Hominidae.
GUAGUUUCCGCACCGCUGACGCAUGCCUGCGCGCACAGCUGGGCCGGGCGCGUCCUACGCAGCAGCCGCGAGCCGGGCUGCGGGUGCCAGACGGUUCCCGGCGGGGGGCAGGGGCGGGGCGCCGCAGGAGGCCGGGACUCCUGGCGGAGGAGCCCCAAGGAGGCCCGCCUGACGACUGACCAGUUGCCAUGGCAUCCUACUACGAGAUCCUAGACGUGCCGCGAAGUGCGUCCGCUGAUGACAUCAAGAAGGCGUAUCGGCGCAAGGCUCUCCAGUGGCACCCAGACAAAAACCCAGAUAAUAAAGAGUUUGCUGAGAAGAAAUUUAAGGAGGUGGCCGAGGCAUAUGAAGUGCUGUCUGACAGUAAGGGCCGGGGUCAGGCAGGACCCAGCACAUCACCCCCUACUUCAUGCCCCAGCUCACAUUUUCUUAAAGCAAUGUCUCUGCCACCUAGUUUCCUCUGUGCCUUUUUCCAGCCUGACAUUUAAGCUCCCCCCUCCCACAGGGACAGCUCAGUGUCUGCUCCCCAGAGUCUGGUAGGAGUGGCUGGCAUGAGACCUGAAAGGGGAAGGAAGCAGGGCAGGUAACUCAUGUGAGCUGAGCCUCCUGCGUGCCAGGCAUUGGUGGGUGUCAUCUCCAUGAGUUCUCACAGCCGUCCUAUGAGGCAGGUUCUAUCACCCCUAUUUUACAGGCAAGGAAACUGAGGCUGAGAGAGGUGAAGUAACUUGCUCAAGGCCACGCAGAGCUGGAAUAUGAAUCCAGGUCUGCCUUUUUAUUGAUUCAUUCGAAAAGUAAUUCAGUGAAUGGUGACAGUGUCCGGCACUCGCUGGGUGCUGGGGAAACUGGAGGACAAGCAGGCACUGUCUUUGCCCAGAGGGGCAGGGAAGACCAACACCUACCAGGCACACACACAGACACAGUUACAGCUUGUGAAGAGUAUUCCGAGGGAAGAAACAGGGCAGGUGGAGUGCUAGGGAAUAAUGUGCACUUGCUUUAGUUCUGGUGGUUGUAGAAGGCCUCUCCGAGAAGGUGACAUUUAGGCUAAGCCCUGGUGAAUAAUAAUGUAGUAAUCAUUAGCUAACAUUUUUUGAACACUUUCUAUGUGUCAGGCACUGGUAGGCAGUUUACGUGGAUGGUCUCAUUUUAUCUUUGCAACAACCCUGUGCGGUAGGUGUUGUGAUGACAGCCAUUUUCCAGAUGAGAAGAGGCCAGCUGUGUGAAAGGCUGUGUUGCUGCCUAAACCUAUAGCCCGUGUCCCCUGGGUCCCCUGCUGUGCCUGCUUUCCCCCGCCAAGUGUCAGAGUGUCAGUCUCUGGACAAUCCUUUGAGUGUCCUAGCCUGGGAGGGGAGCCCAUCCCAGAGGGAGGGUGAAAUGAUCUGGUCUCUUUUUGCAGAGCACAAGCGGGAGAUUUACGACCGCUAUGGCCGGGAAGGGCUGACAGGGACAGGAACUGGCCCAUCUCGGGCAGAAGCUGGCAGUGGUGGGCCUGGCUUCACCUUCACCUUCCGCAGCCCCGAGGAGGUCUUCCGGGAAUUCUUUGGGAGUGGAGACCCUUUUGCAGAGCUCUUUGAUGACCUGGGCCCCUUCUCAGAGCUUCAGAACCGGGGUUCCCGACACUCAGGCCCCUUCUUUACCUUCUCUUCCUCCUUCCCUGGGCACUCCGGUAAGUUCUGCCCCUUCCCACGUUUGCAAGCUCCGAUUCCUGGAACCCCUGGCUUGAGCUUGUUGCUUUUCCAAGCCUGUCUCCUGUGUUGGGAGCCCUGCCUCCAGCAGCCCUGCGAGGAGGCCUGGAGCCUCGGUGACCACAACAGGCAGCGCAGUCUUCUUCUAACCACCUCUCCUCCUCCUCCCUUGUCCCGAUGCCAGAUUUCUCCUCCUCAUCUUUCUCCUUCAGUCCUGGGGCUGGUGCUUUUCGCUCUGUUUCUACAUCUACCACCUUUGUCCAAGGACGCCGCAUCACCACACGCAGGUGAGAGCUCUUUCUGGGGCCAUAGAGGGCUGAGAGGUCUGCUGGGGAGCUGUGUUCAAAUAGAAAGUUGGCUCCUUGAGGGCAGGGCCCAGUCUGCACUCUCUACUGCGGUGGCCAGAACUGGGACCAGUGCCUGCAGGAUUCUGUCACUGCUCGUUGCCUGAACUGUGCUGUCUCCCACAGAAUCAUGGAGAAUGGGCAGGAGCGGGUGGAAGUGGAGGAGGAUGGGCAGCUGAAGUCAGUCACAAUCAAUGGUGUCCCAGAUGACCUGGCACUGGGCUUGGAGCUGAGCCGUCGCGAGCAGCAGCCGUCAGUCACUUCCAGGUCUGGGGGCACUCAGGUCCAGCAGACCCCUGCCUCAUGCCCCUUGGACAGCGACCUCUCUGAGGAUGAGGACCUGCAGCUGGCCAUGGCCUACAGCCUGUCAGAGAUGGAGGCAGCUGGGAAGAAACCCGCAGGUGGGCGGGAGGCACAGCACCGACGGCAGGGGCGGCCCAAGGCCCAGCACCAAGAUCCAGGCUUGGGGGGGACCCAGGAGGGUGCGAGGGGUGAAGCAACCAAACGCAGCCCAUCCCCAGAGGAGAAGGCCUCUCGCUGCCUCAUCCUCUGAACACCGGGCCCAACCUGAUCUGAUCCAGAUCUUGACUGGGGGUCUGACUCACUGUGGGAAGAGAAGAGGGGAGUAUCCUGAGUUGUAGGAACUGCUUUCCAACUCCAUGCUCCCUCCACAAGUUUCCCUCCCAGGCCCCCCGCACCCCAGUGUGGACUUGGGAUUUGCUGUGCUCAGCCCAGGGCUGAUAGGUCCCUGGUGAAGCCCAGGGUGGGGGGUGUCAGGGCAGUGGAGGGGCCCGAGGAGCCAGGUUGCAUUUAUUGGAUGGGGAGCUCCAAGGGGCAUUAGUGGUUUGGGCUGGGCCUUUUGUGCCCAGGUACUCUGCCACCUGUGUUGCUGAUGGUGUCAAGGAAGGAGGACUUGGCCUAGGGUUGUCUGAGCCGGAGCCAGCAGCUCCACUGGAGAGCAGUGCAGGCAGAGUGGAGCCUCCUGCUCUCCUGGACCAGCUGCAGACCCCCAACCCUGGUUUCUGUGCCAUGUUGCGCUCUGACCGUCUCUGUUGCUUCUCUUCUGGUGUUGCUUCUCCUCCCUCCCAUUCUCUCUGCAACUCCCUGCGGGCCGCAUCGCUUGCUUUCACUGCCGUCUGGCUAGGACUCCCUUCUUCCUUCCUUCCCCGAGAAGGCCUCAAUGUGGCGAGGAAGAUGCUGGGGCCGGUAGGGCUGUGAGAUCAUCUGGGGAGGCUAGCCGGGUGGGGCGGGAGCCUCUCAGCUGUCCAGAUUCAGAACUGGAGCCCACUCCUCCUCCCUCUCGUUGCCUCAGCCUGCCCUCACCCUCAGGACUAGGCAGAGGUGAGGCUGGCUCACCCUGAAGAGGUGGGAUAGGACCGGGGGACCCCAGAGGGAGGCCUAGGAGGGGACUGCACCCAUACUGCUUCCCUACCACAAAUCAGGGCUCAGGGAGAGGCCAUGCGGCCAGCCCAGGUCUGCAUGCUGAGCCCCAUCCUCCACAGCUUGCUGCUGACGCUCUCUCCUGUCACCCCGCCCCUGCUCUCUCCCCAGAUGUGUUCUGAGCUGGAUGCCGGGAUCCAGAAUCGCUGCACAGUUCCAACAGGACAGCGCCUUCCCCCAUGCGCUGGGAGGGGACCCUCCAUUUCUCCCCCUCACCCAUGCUGAGUGUAGAGCCGGGGCCUGGGUGGUGGGCAGGGGCUGGGUGGGAGGUGGCAGUAGUCUUAGCCUGUGCACUCUCUUCCUUGGGUGUUUGGUGCUGGCUCCUGGGGACUACAAAUCCCAGAGUGCGGUGUGCCCGGCCUCAUUUCUGAUAGAUCCCGCUUGGGGGAGGUGGUGUGUGGUUACGGAGCUGUGCAUCUUGGGACAUGUAGUAGCCCAGGUCGGCUUGUCACUCGCUGUGAGAUGGGGAGAUUUUGUCUUUUGAUUUAUCCCUGUAGGGCUGGCAGGGUUGUAGAUGAAGGGGGAAUGAUCUGAGCCUUGGUUCCCCUGACACAUCUUGCUAGCCCCAGGGUUAGAGUGGGCAGGGCAGAGCCGCGCAGCACCUGGGAGCGGUACCUUUCCCUUGGGCAGCCUGGGGUCCCAGGAACAAGCCAGGGCGAGUAGCAUGUCUGCCUGAGCAGGGUGUGGCUCCAGAAGGCUGAGGAGUGUGGGCUGGCAGAGAGCUUCGAGGGCAAGGCCACCCGCGGGGGCGUGUGUGUGGUGGGGCUUGGCAUGUGAUGGCAGCUCCAGGCAUGCCGCUGCUUGUAUGGCUUUCUUUGGCCUCUGACCCUGCUGCCCAUUCUUUCCAACAUCACAGAUGAACUGCCUCUCCUCCUCCCUGCCUGGGGAGCCCAGUGGCCAGGGAGGGGAGUGGUGGAGCCAGUCGCUGUAACACUGAGCUUCAGAGACGAACCAAAACCAGCUGGGCUGAGCUCAGAUCCAGGGGGAAAUGCUGGAAGUCAAUAAAACUGAGUUUUGAGA